This is a ribosomal RNA of Pygocentrus nattereri (red-bellied piranha), 152 nucleotides long. It matches the Rfam family "5.8S ribosomal RNA". Rfam says of the family: 5.8S ribosomal RNA (5.8S rRNA) is a component of the large subunit of the eukaryotic ribosome. The record is from Ensembl. NCBI's taxonomy places the organism in Eukaryota, Metazoa, Chordata, Actinopteri, Characiformes, Serrasalmidae.
UACUCUUAGUGGUGGAUCACGCAGCUCGUGUGUUGCUGAAGGACACAGCAAGCUGUGAGAACUAAUGUGAAUUGCAGGACACAGAUCAUCGAUACUUCGAACACACAUUGCGGCCCUGGGUCUAUCCCGGGGCUACGCCUGUCUGAGGAAUG